UACAGAGGUCUCAAGCGUUGUUCGGAUUCAUUGGGCGUAAAGGGUGCGCAGGCGGCGGGGCAAGUCGGACGUGAAAUCUCGGGGCUUAACCCCGAAACUGCGUUCGAUACUGCCCUGCUUGAGGACUGGAGAGGAGACUGGAAUUCCUGGUGUAGCAGUGAAAUGCGUAGAUAUCAGGAGGAACGCCAAUGGCGAAGGCAAGUCUCUGGACAGUUCCUGACGCUCAUGCACGAAGGCCAGGGGAGCAAACGGG
RNAcentral lists this ribosomal RNA (253 nucleotides) under uncultured bacterium. Its description in RNAcentral is "partial 16S ribosomal RNA". It matches the Rfam family "Bacterial small subunit ribosomal RNA", at positions 524 to 776 of the family's 1533-position model. RNAcentral also lists the same sequence under 1 other name. The record is from RNAcentral.